Molecule: long non-coding RNA, 568 nt
Organism: Homo sapiens (human)
Lineage: Eukaryota; Metazoa; Chordata; Mammalia; Primates; Hominidae
Source: Ensembl
GGACAAUACAUUUUGGGUGACAGGAAGUAUUAAUGGAGGAAAUUUUUUAAAGAUACAAUUAAAUAUCUUAUUAAGAUAUCUCAGGAACUUUAAUUCACUGAACAUAUUUUUUGAGUGCCUACUAUAUGCAAGGCAUAGUAUUAGUUGUUCAUUAAAUCUAGAAUAUAAGGAUCACAAUAUAUUUAACUAGUCAAAAUGAGAACUCAGAACUUGGAUAAUCUCUAAAGAAGCUGAUCACAAAUAGAAUAGCACAUUCUGACAUUCUUGAUGAAAAGAUAAAUAAGACUUGUAUAACAAUCUUACUUAUUUUGAGCUUAAACAAGCUUAGGAGUUAAAAUAAAUUUUUACAUAAAUCUGCCAUAGUUCUCAGAAUCUAUAUAAUAGUUCAAAAAUAACCAGCUGGGCGCAGUGGCUCAGCCAGCAUUUUGUAAUCCCAGCACAGUACAAUUCCAGCACUUUGGGAGGCUGAGGUGGGAGGAUCACUGGAGCUCAGGAGUUCGAGGCUGUAGUGAGCUAUGAUAGUACCACUGCACUCCAGCCUGGGCGACAGAGGCAGACCCUGCUUCUU